GGUCCGGCUAAUUACGUGCCAGCAGCCGCGGUAAUACGUAAGGACCGAGCGUUGUCCGGAAUUAUUGGGCGUAAAGGGUACGUAGGCGGCUUUUUAAGUUUGACGUGAAAGCCCGGGGCUUAACUCCGGCAAGCGUUGAAAACUGGAGAGCUUGAGUGAUGGAAGGGACAGUGGAAUUCCUGGUGUAGUGGUGAAAUGCGCAGAGAUCAGGAAGAAUACCAGUGGCGAAGGCGACUGUCUGGACAUUAACUGACGCUGGGGUACGAAAGCGUGGGGAGCAAACAGGAUUAGAUACCCUGGUAGUCCACGCUGUAAACGAUGAGUGUUAGGUGUCUGGGAGAACCUGGGUGCCACAGCAAACGCAAUAAACACUCCGCCUGGGGAGUACGCACGCA
RNAcentral lists this ribosomal RNA (395 nucleotides) under uncultured bacterium. RNAcentral's name for it is "bacterial SSU rRNA". It matches the Rfam family "Bacterial small subunit ribosomal RNA", at positions 490 to 890 of the family's 1533-position model. The record is from RNAcentral.